GGGUUGUGAGGUUAAGCGACUAAGCGUACACGGUGGAUGCCCUGGCAGUCAGAGGCGAUGAAGGGCGUGCUAAUCUGCGAUAAGCGCCGGUAAGGUGAUAUGAACCGUUAUAACCGGCGAUACCCGAAUGGGGAAACCCAGUGUGACUCGUCACACUAUCAUUAACUGAAUCCAUAGGUUAAUGAGGCGAACCGGGGGAACUGAAACAUCUAAGUACCCCGAGGAAAAGAAAUCAACCGAGAUUCCCCCAGUAGCGGCGAGCGAACGGGGAGGAGCCCAGAGCCUGAAUCAGCAUGUGUGUUAGUGGAAGCGUCUGGAAAGGCGCGCGAUACAGGGUGACAGCCCCGUACACAAAAGCGCAUGUGCUGUGAGCUCGAUGAGUAGGGCGGGACACGUGGUAUCCUGUCUGAAUAUGGGGGGACCAUCCUCCAAGGCUAAAUACUCCUGACUGACCGAUAGUGAACCAGUACCGUGAGGGAAAGGCGAAAAGAACCCCGGCGAGGGGAGUGAAAAAGAACCUGAAACCGUGUACGUACAAGCAGUGGGAGCACAGGUUUACCUGUGUGACUGCGUACCUUUUGUAUAAUGGGUCAGCGACUUAUAUUCUGUAGCAAGGUUAACCGAAUAGGGGAGCCGGAGGGAAACCGAGUCUUAAUUGGGCGUUAAGUUGCAGGGUAUAGACCCGAAACCCGGUGAUCUAGCCAUGGGCAGGUUGAAGGUUGGGUAACACUAACUGGAGGACCGAACCGACUAAUGUUGAAAAAUUAGCGGAUGACCUGUGGCUGGGGGUGAAAGGCCAAUCAAACCGGGAGAUAGCUGGUUCUCCCCGAAAGCUAUUUAGGUAGCGCCUCGUGAAUUCAUCUCCGGGGGUAGAGCACUGUUUCGGCUAGGGGGCCAUCCCGGCUUACCAACCCGAUGCAAACUGCGAAUACCGGAGAAUGUUAUCACGGGAGACACACGGCGGGUGCUAACGUCCGUCGUGAAGAGGGAAACAACCCAGACCGCCAGCUAAGGUCCCAAAGUCAUGGUUAAGUGGGAAACGAUGUGGGAAGGCCCAGACAGCCAGGAUGUUGGCUUAGAAGCAGCCAUCAUUUAAAGAAAGCGUAAUAGCUCACUGGUCGAGUCGGCCUGCGCGGAAGAUGUAACGGGGCUAAACCAUGCACCGAAGCUGCGGCAGCGACGCUGAUGCGUUGUUGGGUAGGGGAGCGUUCUGUAAGCCUGCGAAGGUGGCCUGUGAGGGUUGCUGGAGGUAUCAGAAGUGCGAAUGCUGACAUAAGUAACGAUAAAGCGGGUGAAAAGCCCGCUCGCCGGAAGACCAAGGGUUCCUGUCCAACGUUAAUCGGGGCAGGGUGAGUCGACCCCUAAGGCGAGGCCGAAAGGCGUAGUCGAUGGGAAACGGGUUAAUAUUCCCGUACUUGGUGUUACUGCGAAGGGGGGACGGAGAAGGCUAUGUUGGCCGGGCGACGGUU
This 1469-nucleotide ribosomal RNA is filed under the name Salmonella enterica subsp. enterica serovar Rubislaw str. ATCC 10717. Its description in RNAcentral is "partial 23S ribosomal RNA". It matches the Rfam family "Bacterial large subunit ribosomal RNA", at positions 1 to 1503 of the family's 2925-position model. The record is from RNAcentral. Lineage: Bacteria; Pseudomonadati; Pseudomonadota; Gammaproteobacteria; Enterobacterales; Enterobacteriaceae.